GUAGUCUCGCACAGAUGCAUAUCAAUAAGCGGAGGAAAAGAAACUAACAAGGAUUCCCCUAGUAACGGCGAGUGAAGCGGGAAGAGCUCAAAUUUGAAAUCUUAAAGGGUUUCCCUUUACGAAUUGUAGUUUAAAGAAGUGUUUUCUGUUGAGGUUUUGGUAAAAGUUCUUUGGAAUAGGACAUCAUAGAGGGUGAGAAUCCCGUAUUUGACCUUUACUUUCAACUUUGUGAUACACUUUCAAAGAGUCGGAUUGUUUGGGAAUGCAGUCCAAAAUGGGUGGUAAAUUUCAUCUAAAGCUAAAUAUUGGCGAGAGACCGAUAGCGAACAAGUACCGUGAGGGAAAGAUGAAAAGAACUUUGAAAAGAGAGUUAAACAGUACGUGAAAUUGUCAAAAGGGAAGCGUUUGACACCAGUGUUGUUUUUCUGAAAAUCAAUUAAAGAACUGUUUAUGCUAAGCUGUUUAGACUUUAUCAGCUAUCUGUUUAGUUUUGAGCUUUUCUUUAAUGCACUUUUCAGUUAACAAGUCAACAUCAAUUUCUUUUGCUGUAAAAAAGCUUGAGGAAGGUGGCUUGAGAUUCGUCUUAAGUGUUUAUAGCCUCUUGCCUAUGCAGUCGGAGAGAUUGAGGUCUGCAGCGUAGAUCCUUCGGGGCUAAAUGCAUUUGUGCUAAGUUAUAGCAUUUUCAUAGACAACUUGUUGACUAUGAUUUGUCUUGUAGCUUACUCGCUUAUGUUAUUUUACCUACGCUUAGGAUGUUGACAGCAGUAUAGACUGU
RNAcentral lists this ribosomal RNA (775 nucleotides) under uncultured Neocallimastigales. RNAcentral's name for it is "partial large subunit ribosomal RNA". It matches the Rfam family "Eukaryotic large subunit ribosomal RNA", at positions 24 to 634 of the family's 3401-position model. Lineage: Eukaryota; Fungi; Neocallimastigomycota; Neocallimastigomycetes; Neocallimastigales. The record is from RNAcentral.